CUUCAGGCUUCAUGUGUGGAGAGGGAAGGGAAAGAAUUUCCUUCCAAUGAACUUCCCGCCUAAAUCUGGUGCACUGUACAAGAGGCUGCAUCACCUUCCUGGGAGAUAAGAAUAAACAACAAGCAAAAUUAUUGGCCAGAUCUGACAAAAGAAAAGGAGGAAAAACACUGAGGAUAUGAAGCAUUAUCAGUGGGGCUGGAUUGCUUGGACCGGCUGCUUCACUUCAAGGCAAGCGGCUUCUACAGAAGACCAGUGAAAGGUUAGAGAAAUGUCCAAAAUGGUGCA
This is a non-coding RNA of Python bivittatus (Burmese python), 285 nucleotides long. The record is from RefSeq and is a predicted model, not a curated record. NCBI's taxonomy places the organism in Eukaryota, Metazoa, Chordata, Lepidosauria, Squamata, Pythonidae.